GUGUCAGCCGCCGCGGUAAUACGAAGGAGGCAAGCGUUGUUCGGAAUCACUGGGCUUAAAGCGCAUGUAGGCGGGGUGCCAGGUACCUUGUGAAAUCCCUCGGCUCAACUGAGGAAUAGCUUGGUAAACCGGUACUCUUGAGGCAGGUAGAGGCGGGCGGAACCAUGGGUGGAGCGGUGAAAUGCGUAGAGAUCCAUGGGAACACCGGGGGCGAAAGCGGCCCGCUGGGCCUGAUCUGACGCUGAGAUGCGAGAGCGUGGGUAGCAAACAGGAUUAGAAACCCUCGUAGUCC
Molecule: ribosomal RNA, 292 nt
Filed under: uncultured bacterium
Lineage: Bacteria
Description: partial 16S ribosomal RNA
Rfam family: Bacterial small subunit ribosomal RNA
Source: RNAcentral